UACGAAGGUGGCAAGCGUUACUCGGAAUUACUAGGCGUAAAGGGCAUGUAGGUGGUUUGAUAAGUCUGUUGUGGAAGCUCCCGGCUCAACUGGGAGAGGUCAACAGAUACUAUCAGGCUUGAGUAUAGGAGAGGGUACUGGAAUUCCCGGUGUAGCGGUGAAAUGCGCAGAGAUCGGGAGGAACACCAACGGCGAAAGCAGGUACCUGGACUAUUACUGACACUCAGCUGCGAAAGCUAGGGGAGCAAACAGG
This 253-nucleotide ribosomal RNA is filed under the name uncultured bacterium. Its description in RNAcentral is "partial 16S ribosomal RNA". It matches the Rfam family "Bacterial small subunit ribosomal RNA", at positions 524 to 776 of the family's 1533-position model. The record is from RNAcentral.